GAAUCUGCCUAUUAGUGGGGGGCAACAUUCCGAAAGGAAUGCUAAUACCGCAUACGUCCUACGGGAGAAAGCAGGGGACCUUCGGGCCUUGCGCUAAUAGAUGAGCCUAAGUCGGAUUAGCUAGUUGGUGGGGUAAAGGCCUACCAAGGCGACGAUCUGUAGCGGGUCUGAGAGGAUGAUCCGCCACACUGGGACUGAGACACGGCCCAGACUCCUACGGGAGGCAGCAGUGGGGAAUAUUGGACAAUGGGGGGAACCCUGAUCCAGCCAUGCCGCGUGUGUGAAGAAGGCCUUAUGGUUGUAAAGCACCUUAAGCGAGGAGGAGGCUACUAGUAUUAAUACUACUGGAUAGUGGACGUUACUCGCAGAAUAAGCACCGGCUAACUCUGUGCCAGCAGCCGCGGUAAUACAGAGGGUGCGAGCGUUAAUCGGAUUUACUGGGCGUAAAGCGUGCGUAGGCGGCCAUUUAAGUCAAAUGUGAAAUCCCCGAGCUUAACUUGGGAAUUGCAUUCGAUACUGGAUGGCUAGAGUAUGGGAGAGGAUGGUAGAAUUCCAGGUGUAGCGGUGAAAUGCGUAGAGAUCUGGAGGAAUACCGAUGGCGAAGGCAGCCAUCUGGCCUAAUACUGACGCUGAGGUACGAAAGCAUGGGGAGCAAACAGGAUUAGAUACCCUGGUAGUCCAUGCCGUAAACGAUGUCUACUA
This 702-nucleotide ribosomal RNA is filed under the name uncultured bacterium. Its description in RNAcentral is "bacterial SSU rRNA". It matches the Rfam family "Bacterial small subunit ribosomal RNA", at positions 122 to 818 of the family's 1533-position model. The record is from RNAcentral.